AGUGAACGCUGGCGGUAGGCCUAACACAUGCAAGUCGAACGGCAGCACAGUAAGAGCUUGCUCUUACGGGUGGCGAGUGGCGGACGGGUGAGGAAUACAUCGGAAUCUACUUUUUCCUGGGGGAUAACGUAGGGAAACUUACGCUAAUACCGCAUACGACCUACGGGUGAAAGCAGGGGAUCUUCGGACCUUGCGCGAUUGAAUGAGCCGAUGUCGGAUUAGCUAGUUGGCGGGGUAAAGGCCCACCAAGGCGACGAUCCGUAGCUGGUCUGAGAGGAUGAUCAGCCACACUGGAACUGGGACACGGUCCAGACUCCUACGGGAGGCAGCAGUGGGGAAUAUUGGACAAUGGGCGCAAGCCUGAUCCAGCCAUACCGCGUGGGUGAAGAAGGCCUUCGGGUUGUAAAGCCCUUUUGUUGGGAAAGAAAAGCAGCAGGUUAAUACCCCGCUGUUCUGACGGUACCCAAAGAAUAAGCACCGGCUAACUUCGUG
RNAcentral lists this ribosomal RNA (492 nucleotides) under uncultured bacterium. Its description in RNAcentral is "partial 16S ribosomal RNA". It matches the Rfam family "Bacterial small subunit ribosomal RNA", at positions 29 to 507 of the family's 1533-position model. The record is from RNAcentral.